This 253-nucleotide ribosomal RNA is filed under the name uncultured bacterium. RNAcentral's name for it is "partial 16S ribosomal RNA". It matches the Rfam family "Bacterial small subunit ribosomal RNA", at positions 524 to 776 of the family's 1533-position model. The record is from RNAcentral.
UACGAAAGGUGCAAGCGUUACUCGGAAUUACUGGGCGUAAAGCGCGCGUAGGCGGUCUUGUAUGUCGAUUGUGAAAGCCCAGGGCUCAACCUUGGAAUAGCAGUUGAAACUGCAAGACUUGAAUACUGGAGAGGGUGGGGGAAUACCUAGUGGAGAAGUGAAAUUCGUAGAGAUUAGGUGGAACACCAGAGGCGAAGGCGCCUGCCUGGCCAAGUAUUGACGCUGAGGCGCGAAAGUGCGGGGAGCAAACAGG